RNAcentral lists this small nuclear RNA (24 nucleotides) under Arabidopsis thaliana (thale cress). RNAcentral's name for it is "snRNA_17808". Lineage: Eukaryota; Viridiplantae; Streptophyta; Magnoliopsida; Brassicales; Brassicaceae. The record is from RNAcentral.
ACAUAGUUAUCCGUAAUUAGUGAG